Molecule: long non-coding RNA, 1358 nt
Filed under: Parus major (Great Tit)
Lineage: Eukaryota; Metazoa; Chordata; Aves; Passeriformes; Paridae
Description: lncRNA (ENSPMJG00000009411.1)
Source: RNAcentral
AAUACAGAGGUUAAAAAGCCUGGGCUGUAAGGUUGCACGGGACGGUACUUGCCUGCCUGUGGGAUGUAAUACAACUUGUAGCCGGAGUAUCCACAUCGGGGCUGUGCUGCUGCCUACACUUAGUAAUAAAUUAUUGCUGUGACUCUAAACACUCUGCAAUGUAUCGGCGAUUCAUCUUUCAGUCGCCUGUUCCCACGCUGUCCGUUUUAUCUCGAUGGUUAAUUUAAUCCUGGCAGUAAUUGCUUCGCUUCUCUUAAAUCUCCCCGUCCCGCCAGCCAAGCGCGGGCCCUUGUGCGGGUGUUGUGGGGGUCGGGGCGGCUGGCCACCGGGCUGGUGAUGCUCGGACAGCCGAGACCGCUCCGUGCAGCCCGGGCCCUGGGGCUCCGCAGCCGGCAGUGACCGGGGGAGCGGCGGCCGCGGGGGGGCGGGGGGAGGAGGAGGAGAAGGCGGCGAAUCCUCGUCCGGCUGGCCGGGUGUGCGAGCACUAGUGGGAGCUGGAGAGGGCGAAAGGAGGGGAGAAAGCCCCAAACCACCCCGAGCCCGAGCAGAGCGGCUGCGAGCCGGGCGGCAAGGGGGGUGUGCGCCAGAGGCGGGCGGGGGGCGAGCGCGGCGGCAGCGCUGGGAGCGGCGGCAGCCCCGGCGGAGGAGACGGCAGCAGCCCCGGCGGAGGAGGCAGCCCCGCGGAGCCUUGGCAGGCGGUGAGCACGGGUGGAGUUCAUUUCUUUUGUUCCUGAGAGCUGAAUAGGAGAAAGGGACAUUUCAGCUUUUCUUGAUAAAGUAAUUAUUAGAAACGCUGUUCAUUUACAUAUGUUUAAAAAAAGAAGAAAUGUAUUGUGGAAGUCACUGUGUUGAUGCCAGAUCUUGGAUGCCUGAGCCCUGGGUGUUUUGGAGAGUCCAAAAGUGGCUGUUACCUUGUGAGGCUGUGCUCAUCAAUACUUGUCACUUCAUCUGCGCCCUGCAGCCCAGCCCAGCCCUGUGGAUUUGAACCAGGUCAGAUGUGAGAACUUGCUCAUGUGUUUGUCAGCCUGGCAGAGCACACAAUGAUGUAUUUAUAGCUGCCUUCUACCAGCUGCAGGAAGAAGGAUGAUACCUGAUCUGGUAGAAAAUCUACCAAGAUAAAAUUACCUUAAAAAAAAAAAAAAAGAAAAAAGAAAAAAAAUUAUUUAUGUCAGCAGAAUGGUUUGAUACCUGUUCAUGGUUUGCUCUUCUUUUUGUCAUGAGCUUUCAGUGCUUUCUUAGGUACUGAGCAUCCAGAAACUGUAGUUACCACCAUCUCAUUGAACAUCACUGAACGUAUUACAGUUAUUGAUACUGCAUAUUGUUAAUUAAUUAAUAUUAAAUAUUUGAACUGUUCUGAA